Molecule: small nucleolar RNA, 104 nt
Organism: Lemur catta (Ring-tailed lemur)
Lineage: Eukaryota; Metazoa; Chordata; Mammalia; Primates; Lemuridae
Product: small nucleolar RNA U13
Exons: 1
Source: RefSeq, a predicted model, not a curated record
AUCCUUUUGUAGUUCAUAAUCAUGAUGACUGAGUGUUCACAUGCAUGUGGGAGAUGUGUCUCCCUCCAACCUUGUAAUGACGUCAGCACGCUACCCAUCUGAUG